CCUACGGGAGGCAGCAGUGGGGAAUUGUUCGCAAUGGGCGCAAGCCUGACGACGCAACGCCGCGUGGAGGAUGAAGGUCUUCGGAUUGUAAACUCCUGUUGCCCGGGACGAAACGCUCCGACCUAACACGUCGGAGUCUGACGGUACCGGGUGAGGAAGCCCCGGCUAACUCCGUGCCAGCAGCCGCGGUAAU
This 193-nucleotide ribosomal RNA is filed under the name uncultured bacterium. RNAcentral's name for it is "partial 16S ribosomal RNA". It matches the Rfam family "Bacterial small subunit ribosomal RNA", at positions 338 to 524 of the family's 1533-position model. The record is from RNAcentral.